AGCAGAAGUAGGAACCCGAGAAAGAGAAGAACUGCUCUGGUUAAUGCUUUAUCAUUUUUGAUUGUGUUCUUUGCUCAAAGCAAAACUUAAUUUCAUCUUGCCCGGGGGAAAUCAUCCAGGCAAAAUACCCAAGUGACCAGCUCCUGACUUUAGCACAAGUCAUGGGUGUUCGCUAUAUUUGAAACAGAGCAACAUUCUUUGAAGUAGCUGACCAUCUGGACCUAAGGAUGCAAACCUCUUGAUGCUGCAGGGAAAGCUCCAAGGGGGAAUUACAUCGCAUGCAAGCGUUCGCCCUCCACACACGUGACGCUGUGAAGCUCAAGGUUUGAAGAUUUUAUCGCAGCUGCCCAGAACUGUGUCCCUGGCCAGAGUCGCUCACGUGUAGUGAAAGAGUAUGCUUAUUUCUUAUACUUAAUCCGAAUGAAGAGAAAAUCAAAUUGAAAGUUACACUGAACUGUCAAAGAGUCUGCGAAACAGGGCUGGAGAGAGGGCUCAGGGGUUAAGAGCACGGGCUGCUCUUUCAGAGGUCAUGACUUCAA
Mastomys coucha (southern multimammate mouse) is the source of this 539-nucleotide long non-coding RNA. RefSeq lists it as uncharacterized. The transcript has 3 exons. NCBI's taxonomy places the organism in Eukaryota, Metazoa, Chordata, Mammalia, Rodentia, Muridae. The record is from RefSeq and is a predicted model, not a curated record.